RNAcentral lists this ribosomal RNA (495 nucleotides) under Pasteurellaceae bacterium 35. Its description in RNAcentral is "partial 16S ribosomal RNA". It matches the Rfam family "Bacterial small subunit ribosomal RNA", at positions 22 to 506 of the family's 1533-position model. Lineage: Bacteria; Pseudomonadati; Pseudomonadota; Gammaproteobacteria; Pasteurellales; Pasteurellaceae. The record is from RNAcentral.
GCUCAGAUUGAMCSCUGSCGSCAGSCUUAACACAUGCAAGYCGAMCGGUAGCACAGAGGASCUUSCUCCUUGGGUGMCGAGUGGCGGACGGGUGAGUAAUGCUUGGGAAUCUGGCUUAUGGAGGGGGAUAACUACUGGAAACGGUAGCUAAUACCGCGUAAUAUCGRRAGAUUAAAGGGUGGGACCWUUKGGCCACCUGCCAUAAGAUGAGCCCAAGUGGGAUUAGGUAGUUGGUGGGGUAAUGGCCUACCAAGCCGACGAUCUCUAGCUGGUCUGAGAGGAUGRCCAGCCACACUGGAACUGAGACACGGUCCAGACUCCUACGGGAGGCAGCAGUGGGGAAUAUUGCACAAUGGGGGGAACCCUGAUGCAGCCAUGCCGCGUGAAUGAAGAAGGCCUUCGGGUUGUAAAGUUCUUUCGGUGAUGAGGAAGGUGUUUUGUUUAAUAGACAAAGCAAUUGACGUUAGUCACAGAAGAAGCACCGGCUAACUCCGU